Molecule: long non-coding RNA, 1827 nt
Filed under: Venturia canescens
Lineage: Eukaryota; Metazoa; Arthropoda; Insecta; Hymenoptera; Ichneumonidae
Description: uncharacterized LOC122408242
Source: RNAcentral
CGCGGCGCGCGCCGCUUAGGUUAGUUUCGUUGGAGCGCGUCGAUCGCUGCACCUCCAGAGGCGGGAUUAUUUCCUUAAAUUUGGCCGGACGACUUAUAUUUUUCAGAUUUGCAUCAUCGUAUUUUUUUAUAUUCGUUCGGUAAUUAUUAGUACCGCAAUUAAAGUGUUUGGUACCUUCUAGUUAUUCUAUAAUCGAAUUCCUAAUACUUGUACGCACAAUAAUUUGUGCGUUUGUACAGUGUCAGUGAGACGCUAGUCUAAGUUCUCAUGGCUAUCACACGCGCACAUAUGGAAAAAAGAGUCUUCCGAAGAAAACUAUUCUUGAUUCAAGAAAUAAAGGCACGAUGGUUUGUUUGAAAUCUUGAAAAUCAUCGUCCGAAAGACUCAGGAGUUUAUGCUUAAACGAAUUCGGAGCCCGUAAAAGAUUAUUCGACAAAGAGACAAGAAAGCCAGAAACUCGACUAAAAAAGCAGGUUUGAAGGAAGCGUCGCCGGGAGGCACGGCCGUGUGCGCGAGGGAACAGAGACUGUUCGGGCCCAACUCACACAAUUCUCACAGAUGUCUGGAUUUAAUCACGCAGACGUUCGUGCCUGCGUCUCUCUUCCUCGCGAGCGAGGGGAGCAGCGAGGAGACGCGAAUUUGAGGAAACUUUGAUGCGUGCCGUUUGAUGUGUGCUCCCCGAGGCGGGCUGGAUUUGGCCACAAAGUGGAAUGUAAUCGGUUAAAGGACGAGUGUCCUUACCGAUGCAACGGCACGUGAAUUCCCGUCCGACGUGGCAAUUCGCCCAUGGCUCGUUGAAGUUUACUCUCGCCGCAUCAAAGUACGAAUUCAGUAAAGUUGAUACUUUUGAUCCUCGCCCAUUUAAAACUGCGGAGAGCAUCGACCGAUCGAGGCAACGGAGUUUCAACGUCGACCCGACACUGUGCCUCUCGAUAAAAAAACCUUUUUUCCUCCGCUCCCUUUAUUCAGGAGGCUUAAAAAACCGAGUUUCAUGAAAAUUUCACCCGAUUCGUCGGCCCGAUCGUUUUCAUCGAAAGUCUCACGGAGGGACGCGCAGCUACUUUGAGACUCCGAUGUAUACAUACGUGGAGCGAUGAUUGGACGACGAGGAUGCGGAAGCAGCCUUUGCACAGUGAUUGGAAAGUGUCGAACGCUCUACGCCAGAGGUAUUUGGGAGGACCGAAUUUGUAACGCAAAUACGACACGAGACUGUUCCAGUCGCCCUCCGUGCUCGAAUCACCGCGGACCUGCUACAUCUCGAAUGAACUCUUGGCUGUUGCUACAGCACCCUCCCUCAUGCUGAUCGAUUUUUUCGCUCGAAGCAGAUCGUUGAAAGGCUCAUUUGAGAUUCGGGGCUCUCGAGGAUAUCGCCAACUAGUGGAAUCAGGAGAAGUCUGACUGUAUCCGCGAGCAGCAUGCACGAAGCUUCGUAACUCAUUUCGGUUGGGCUGCGUGUACGAAGAACCGGACGGGAUCGUUGUUCCGGGCCGGGGCGAUGGUUUCGUUGAUCUUAUGGCUUCGCUUCGUCGGACGAUCUUACGCUACCAUUACAACAACGUAUGAAACCUUUCGAGCCCGGUUCGUUGCCGGUCGAGCCUCAACCCCAGCGAAAAAUAUCGCCUGCUCAGGUCCGAAUUUUCGUUCAGCAAGAUCGCGUUACUUGUCAAUCAAAAAAGCGGCUCAACUUUGUUUUUUUGCUCUUCACGAUCAAAGAAACGGCUCAAAUUCGUUCUCGUAAUUGGUAAAAUUAUGUGUAACGUAUUCGUUGAGAUUGAUCAAUUUUUAAGAUGAUGGAUCAGUCGGUAAUCACACCUCGAAUUUUUGAAA